Pogoniulus pusillus (Red-fronted tinkerbird) is the source of this 427-nucleotide long non-coding RNA. RefSeq lists it as uncharacterized. The transcript is spliced from 2 exons. The record is from RefSeq and is a predicted model, not a curated record. NCBI's taxonomy places the organism in Eukaryota, Metazoa, Chordata, Aves, Piciformes, Lybiidae.
AAGGGUGCCUGGGUUCAUUCCUGUCUCUGGUGCUGCCCCUGGAUGGAUUGUUUGGCUCCUGGAAGGACCCUCAGACAUAUUGUGACUGUUUCUGGCUGUACUUCUAGAUGAGCUUUGGACCCAUAUUGUAGCUCUGCUUCCAGCCUUGUCCUUGGCUCAUCUCCUCUGGCUCCUAUGUAAUCUCUGGACCUGGGUUGCUGGAAGCAGGACAUGGAACUGCUGAUGGAUGCUGUAAACCAGUACCUGGCUGUGCUCAGACCUGGUGGGACUCUUGCCUGCUGUGCUCCCAUCCAGCCUGACUUUGAACACUUCUAGGCUUGGAGCCUCCACAGCUUCUCUGACCAACCUGUCCCAAUGUCUGUUUCCAGCAAAGAAGAAACUCUGUGAGGCAAGUAGCAAAUUCUGAGACUGAGUAUGUGGGGAAGAA